GACGAACGCUGGCGGCGUGCCUAACACAUGCAAGUCGAACGGAGAGGCCCUGCUUUUGUGGGGUGCUCGAGUGGCGAACGGGGGAGUAACACGUGAGUAACCUGCCCUUGUCUUUGGGAUAACUUUAGGAAACUGGGGCGCAUAUCGGAUAGGAGCUACUGCAGCAUGGUGGUGGUUGGAAAGUUUCGGCGGUGGGGGAUGGACUCGCGGCUUAUCCGCUUGUUGGUGUGGUAGCGGCUUACCAAGGCUUCGACGGGUAGCCGACCUGAGAGGGUGACCGGCCACACUGGAACGGAGACAGGGACCAGACGACUACGGGAGGCAGCAGUAGGGAAUCUUCCGCAAUGGGCGAAAGCCUGACGGAGCAACGCCGCGUGAGUGAUGAAGGUCUUCGGAUCGUAAAACUCUGUUAUUAGGGAAGAACAAAUGUGUAAGUAACUAUGCACGUCUUGACGGUACCUAAUCAGAAAGCCACGGCUAACUACGUG
Molecule: ribosomal RNA, 488 nt
Filed under: uncultured bacterium
Lineage: Bacteria
Description: partial 16S ribosomal RNA
Rfam family: Bacterial small subunit ribosomal RNA
Source: RNAcentral